CGACCUGGCUUCACAACAAAAACAUGGCCACAUCAGUUGGAUUAUUCCGCAGCCCAACAUCAAUUUCAAUCGGUGAUAUUGUUUCUCAUGCAGUCGAAUAUCUGAGAGCUCAUUGCAACAAUGGAUUCCAAAAAUCCAAUCCUGAGAAACGCUUUACAGCGAUUAUGUCCCUCAUGUAAUAUUAUCGUGAACAUUAAUCAACAUGUCUGCAAGUGUGGCUAUAGGCUUUUUUAUGUCAAACGUAAAGCUCAGCCGGAAAGCCAGGCUCAGGCAAAUAUCAAGAGAUCAGAAAAGAAAAAACAUAUACCUGUUGUACAUGAUGAGUUGCAUAAAAGUGUGCAAGAUUUACAACACCAAAAGAAAUUGAAGGAGAUUGAAGAGGAGAUAACAAGGCUUCGAGCAAUUAUGAUUCCCAAAAUAACAACCCAAAAAGGCGGACAAUUAUGUACACUGGCACUUCGUCUAGAAAAAGCAGAGCUUUAGGCACACCAUCAAAUCCUUUCCCUUGCAGUCAUGAAGUAAUGAAGCCUCCAGUUUCUGUUGUAGACGUUAUACCCCAAAAUAUCAAUG
Molecule: non-coding RNA, 570 nt
Organism: Procambarus clarkii (red swamp crayfish)
Lineage: Eukaryota; Metazoa; Arthropoda; Malacostraca; Decapoda; Cambaridae
Source: RefSeq, a predicted model, not a curated record